GUGAGAAAGGCACAAUGGUUACAUCUGCUACCGUGUCUCACAGGAAAACAUCACAGCUUUGCCAAACAUGAGAAGAAAUAUCCUGAAUACUAUUCCUGAGAAGUAAGACAAAGUACAGGCUUUGGAGGUAGACAAUCCAGGCUUGGAAUCCCAGCUCUGCCACUUACUAGCUGUGAGACCUUGGAUGCGGAAACUGAGGCAAGAGCGCUUAAGCACCUCGCCCAAGCUCCAACAGCAGCAGGUGACAGAGCCUUGACUUGAACCCAAGUAGUCUGGCCCCAGAGCCUACUCUAACAGCUAAGUUUGUUUCCUCUUUCAAGAGAAGAUCUUAGGUCCCUGCCUAAGUUUUAAAAGGAAAGCAGCGUCCCCUAGGAAUCAGAUCUGUCUUCACCAUGCUAAUGAGAAUACAGAAAAGGGGGGCUUAUAUUUAUUAUAAGCCUAAGAGGUUGAUCAUAGCAGCUUUAGAGUAAGACACCGUAUGAGGAUGGUAAAACUCAGUGGAAUAUUGGCUUUUAUGUAUUGUUUUAGUGAGGGAAGCAGGUUCCUUUUGAGCAUGUAUUAUCAUCUCUCCAUUACUGAUAAGGGAACUGAAGCCCAGAGAGCUGAAGUGACUCAUUCAAAGUCAUACAGCUAAAAACUGGUAUCUGGAUUCCAAGCCCAGUCUCUCUUUUAUACUAAUCUGCUUUGAGUGCC
Non-coding RNA from Vicugna pacos (alpaca), 693 nucleotides. The record is from RefSeq and is a predicted model, not a curated record. NCBI's taxonomy places the organism in Eukaryota, Metazoa, Chordata, Mammalia, Artiodactyla, Camelidae.